GAUGUUGCUUCCAAUAGAAAGGGCUUCCGAAUUCCGAAUAUAUUCCGCGUCCUAGUACAGCGUUGCGCCAACGUUUCGCAAACGUUGCAGUUUGCAUCAUCAGGACUAGGAGCUCCGAUUAUAAUUAUAUUUUUUAAUUUCAGCCAGGUUUCAUCCGAUUUCACACAGACCAAUUUUACACAUCUACUUUGACUGCCAAAGAAGGUGGCCUCAUAUUUGAUGCCUACUGACAUCCCUUUAUGAAUUCAUGGGAACCUAUGAUGCUUGGGAAUAGCAUAACUUAGUUCUGGACAGAGACAAUGUGUAGUUCUAAUAACAAAAUUACAACUUAAAUUUAUGGAUAGUGUUUGUAUGUUGAACAGAAUAAAAACGAUUGUAAAUCCUUGAGGUGAUGAGUGGCAGUGAUGUCAUAGUAAGUAUAGUCAAUUCAUAAUCGCAGCGUUGUUCCAAUUCUCAAGGGGAUUCUACAAUGUGAUGCGGUUGCUAAAAAAAUUUGCUCAAUUUUCAACUUUUAGUUGAACCUCCUUUACCACAUGUUUGCGUUUUAUACGAGAUUGAUUGGAAUGAGAAAUUAUGAACAAAGAGAUCUGAAUUAAAUGAUAACCCAAUUUAAGAACCCAUAUUGACCUUUUUUUUUUCAACCUAUAUUUACAGUAUUUAAUUGUAAAAAUUUGUAAAUGCUUAUAUUUUAAUUUACAUUUUAAAUUACAUUAAACAAAAUAAAUUAUAUGUAUACAUA
Long non-coding RNA from Monomorium pharaonis (pharaoh ant), 739 nucleotides. RefSeq lists it as uncharacterized. Lineage: Eukaryota; Metazoa; Arthropoda; Insecta; Hymenoptera; Formicidae. The record is from RefSeq and is a predicted model, not a curated record. The transcript has 2 exons.